CUUGUCCAUGGCCCUACCCAUCCCUGGGGACCUCUCUCGCGAUUUCUCGUCCCCAAUUCAAAACCAGUUCAUCGAUUCCAUUUCGGGAUAGAGUGGGCGAGGACUACGCCAUGGAUCGGAUCGUAGGCGGGAAGUACAAGCUAGGGCGCAAGAUCGGGAGCGGAUCCUUCGGCGAAAUCUUUCUUGCGACGCACGUUGACACGUUCGAGAUCGUCGCGGUUAAGAUCGAGAACAGUAAGACCAAGCACCCACAACUAAUUUAUGAAGCCAAGCUUUAUAAUAUUCUUCAGGGAGGAAGUGGGAUCCCAAAUAUAAAAUGGUAUGGUGUUGAUGGAGAGGAGAAUGCUCUUGUCCUUGAUUUGCUGGGUCCAAGCCUUGAAGAUCUGUUUGUCUAUUGUGGUCACAAGUUCUCGUUAAAGACAGUUCUGAUGCUGGCAGAUCAGAUGAUUACAAGAAUAGAAUAUGUUCACUCAAAAGGUUUUUUACACAGAGACAUCAAACCCGAUAACUUCCUGAUGGGUCUUGGUCGGAAGGCUAAUCAGGUGUACAUCAUCGACUUUGGGCUUGCUAAAAGAUAUAGGGAUUCUACUACCAAUCGUCAUAUUCCAUACAGAGAAAACAAAAACCUGACUGGAACUGCUAGGUAUGCUAGCUGCAACACCCAUCUUGGAAUUGAGCAAAGCCGACGGGAUGAUUUGGAAUCUCUUGGUUAUGUUCUCCUCUACUUUCUCAGAGGGAGUCUUCCAUGGCAAGGUCUAAAGGCUGCCACAAAGAAGCAGAAGUAUGAUAAAAUAUGCGAGAAGAAGCUUUCAACUCCAAUUGAAGUUUUAUGCAAAUCCCACCCAGUGGAAUUUGCUUCUUACUUUCACUAUUGCCAUUCUUUAACGUUUGAACAACGGCCCGACUAUGGAUUCUUGAAGCGGCUCUUCCGUGAUUUGUUCACUCGUGAAGGCUAUGAAUUUGAUUAUAUCUUUGACUGGACAAUUUUGAAAUACCAACAAGCCCAAAGGACAAGAUCUCAACCUCGACCAUCUCUGAUCUCAGGUGGAACAACUAGUCAAGCGAUUCCAAUGAACGCUGAUAGACAACAAGUUACCAGUUUCCGCAACAUUCCUCGCAUUGAUGAAGUCACGGAGCACGUUGCACCUAUUAAUGUUGGUCGUCCUAUUGUUCAAAUGCAGUUCAAAUAUCCAGCUGAUAGAGAUAAGUUGAGAGUAGGAACAAGUUCUGAACUACCUCAACUAUCAUCCCCGUCACUUGCUUUCGCUGGUCCUUCAAAGAAACAUGUAAAUUCUAAACAAUCAGGGCCACCACCCGAUGCUUCCCAUGUUGGCUCCUCCAGCAGUUGGUUUCCUACGCUACAGCGUAAUGCUUCGGCAAAAUGACCGGUAAUUCUGUUGUAUGAGUAGCUGCCAUGUAUGUUCAGUCCCAGUUCACUGCAUGGGACUUCUCAGGUUGAGCGUCUGUUCUUUAUGGGCUCUUCAGGUGUAAAUUCAAAGUGGUUGGGUCCAACAACACGAUAACACAGUAGCUGCACUGUUAUUGCUCAGGUCACUUACUCCUGUUAAGGUGACUAUUAAGUGUGUUACAUAAUUAAUGCUUUUCGGUCUAACAUUCAAUUUCCCAUUUAAAUUGGAUAAAAUGAAAUUGUUUUAUUUCAUUAAUGUUGAUAAAUCUAUUUAGUAGAGGGAUAUCAUGUAAUAAAAUGCCUCGUGGAUUCAUCUAUCCUGGCUUCUCUGCUCCUUGUUUAGUUUUGUAUUCUAUUCCUUUGGUUCAGGUGCCAGGCUCUCGUCUUUAAUGCUGGUUACCAGAUUGCAAUACCACCUUAUCUAGGACAAGACAUUGGCCUUUGAAGAUUUUAGACAUGGAAUCUGGAUCAUCUUAGUUAGUAUCUACGUCCAUAAAGAGAGAUGAUGAACAGGUUUUACGUUUUCUCAGCUUGGAAAAAAUGGUAGAUUCGAGAUAGUUUGUUUUCCUUUUUUUUUUCAAGUAGUUAUGUAUAUGUUUUCAUCGUGUGCAUUUUGUCUAUGUUUUAGGGUUUGUUUCCUGAGUAAAUAAGUUAAAGGGUGAAUUACGAGCAAAGGAUGAAGUGAUAGAAGAAUCGCUUCUUUUUCCUUUUUUUUUUAGCAUUGCUUUCACUGAUAAAUAAACAUGGUUUUAGUGUAAAAUUUUGUUGAAAUUUUUUCUUUUCCAUUCAUUUCUUUAAUUUUAUUUUUAUGCCUUUCUCGAUCUUUUUUCUCCUCCUAAUUUACCAUACCUUUACGGCCAACAAAUUGUUUUUAAUCAAUAUUUUUUUCUUUAUGUUUCUCAUUCUUUUAAUCUCUUCCUCUCUUCUUGUAUUGUCUGAAUAUAACGUUGCCAUAUGAUUAUAUUUCUAUCUAAUAUUAUUCUAAUCAAUCAAAUCUUGUUCUAUUGGAAUGACAAUGGAUAUCAGAUGUCAAAAAUAAGAUUUAAAAAAUAAUUUAAUAUGUUUUUAAAUAUGUAAAAAGGUCAUAUAGUUAUUUAUUGUGUUCAAUUAAUUUCAAAGAAUUUUAUUUCACCGAUUGCGUAAAAGUUGAUUUUGAAUUGUUGUGGGAACACGAUUGAUCUGCGGGUACUUGCCAGUUUGUUUCUAGUUUGGGUUAAAUUUGUGGGUGUCCGGUGCGCGUACGACUAUGAAAUUAAUAUCGAUUUUGAGUUUAACAUCCAAUUUGGAUAGCGAGUGGUGAGUUGGGUUGGGAUUGCUCUGUGGAGGAAAGUAGUGAAUCUCAUCAAUUAUUCAACGAUAUCAAAUAUCUCAGUGCACGUGCGCCUCACGCAUUCACGCGAGCACGCGACGGGCUUUCGUUCGUUUUCCUCUCCGAUGAAUCCAACCCCAAGUGGCGGCGCGACUGCUCUCUUUCUGCUAGGCGAUUCCAGAUGAUCGCCUCAUGCUAUUCACUCUCGAGGCGAAGAUCUUUCACUUAAUUCUUCGAUUGAGAUCAUCCUAAUCCCCUUUGAUCUGCAUCGCUUCCUCCUCCGUUUUGCCUAAAUGCAGUCGUUUGGUUCCUUCCUGACUCGACUGCUGAUUCUUGUGCAGAAUAGAUCGCCUCCUCAAAGUUGUGCGUCCGCUGAACGGUCUCGCGAAUCCUUCAAGUCAGAAUCAGGUUUGGGCUCGUGGUCAGAUAUUGAGCUGCAAAUGGAAAAUAUCUAAUUCUAUGAAUGAAGUAGCUAAGAUGGAUCGGCA
Molecule: RNA transcript, 3205 nt
Organism: Zingiber officinale
Lineage: Eukaryota; Viridiplantae; Streptophyta; Magnoliopsida; Zingiberales; Zingiberaceae
Exons: 16
Source: RefSeq, a predicted model, not a curated record